ACACACACACUCUUCGUCUUUUCUUUUUCCAUGGAUUUGCGUGGGAAUAGUCUCUUCCUUUCUAGCUAGAAGAAUAAAGGGCUAGAAAAGCUUUGAAACAAUACUUGGUGGGAUGAGGUCACUGGCUUCUUUUACCACUCGACAAGAAAAGAAGAGUAAGUCUUACAGUUGAACACAAAGUGAGUCAAGGAGGAGAAUUGAAUGAAUUAUUGCUGUGUUCACUGCUAUCUUUCGUCUCCAAGUAUGAUCCAUGAAAUUGCUUCCACUCUCUGUUUUUGGAUGCACUACAACAACAUGACUGAACUACAUUAUAUUUUAGAAACAUCAGAGUAUUGAUUGGUGUCGCACAACACACGAAUUUAGACUAGCGAGAUUGUUACCAUCUAAUUUGAUGUGCUAGUUCCUUUCAACUGCCACUACAUUAUUUUUCUGGGAUGUGAAUCCUGUAUUGGAAUUUGUUUGUUCUUGCGGCCGACAACGUUGAAAAUAACAAUAUCGCGGCCGACCACGUGGUUGGCUGUGAUAACAAAGGGCUCUUAAUCCAGCAACUCCAAACCCAAUCUUAUGUUCUUGGCGAUGGUGCUUCUGUUGCAGAUUCUCCCCUUGAACUGCCCACUUCACUACCUGCUAAGUUGCAGCCAAUAGGAAGCUUUUUUCAUUUUGCUUUCCCCCCCUUAAGCCUGAACAGCAAGACCUGCACAUCACCACUAAUCCAUCAGGAUUGCUAACAUGGAAAUACUCCUGCCAAGUUCUUUCCUUACCCUUCCUUUUUCACUCCCUCGAGAGCAAAACUUCCCUGGUCACCAAAAGGUUAUCUAACCCUGUCAGCUACUCCCUCCAUCAAUUGCUCUUGACUGGAGCACCUUGCUUCAGGGCCCAAAGCUAGUGAUAAAAGGAAAGCUACACAAUCCCACUCAUUGCACACUUUCUGGAGCCCAUUACCCGCAAGGAUAUCAGCUAGCUAGAUAGCCAACAGCUACCAAAUUCUCUACUCUGCUUGACCUCAUACGGUCGGGGCUCAUCAAGCAUAGAUUGCGAUUAGCCAGUUGAUACGACCAACAAUCUUAAUCCCCAUAUUGCAUAGCUAAGCAGCAAGACUACAUGAUUGGAGACUCAAGACUUGGUAAGACUGUGAUCCAUGAGACAGGCUGGAAAGUCACCUUUGUGGAGGGAAAAGACACUCCACCAACACACCAUCAGCUUGGCUGGAACCAAGUUUAGCUAGGAAUUCAACAACACAAUAAUAUCCCUCUCGCAGAACGAGACAAAAAAACUUGCUAAUUCCUAUCAAGAGCUUUCAAAUGUCAGAAAUCAGAUUCCAUCAUGGGCGAAAGAUAGCAGCAUGAAAUAUAAGAUUUACAGCAUCUAAAAUUGUUCUACUUGGCCCAUAAUCGACCGUAACCCAUCCGCUAUGCCAUGCCCAAAUAUCAACUAUACGCCAACAAACAUAACAUAUUAACAUGACAGUGUACUGAACCAAUACCCAGGCUAUUUUUAAAAAGACCAACAUAACACACUUAUACUUACCAUUCAAUUCUAUCGUUUUGGUCCAUCUACUGUUUUUUGGCUGAUACAAUCUGUCAAUAUCUAUUGUUUGACAAAUCCUAUCUCAUUGCUAAUAUUGCUAUUAUCAAACAAGACAGCUUACAGGUCCUGACUUAAGUUACAUGGCGUCCUUCCUCUGUCUUUUCUUACCACAAUCUCUCCGCUACUAUUGUUUGACAAAUCCUAUCUCAGCGUUAACACUGGUGUUAGCAGAUGCAUACAUGAUGGAGACAGCUUCCAUGUCUUGACAGAGGUUAUCAUGGCAUUUAUAUUUUCAAACUGAUAUUGCAACCUCAGUAUGAUUGUUAAGCGAAAUUCUACGACAUCUACACCUUUUUCCGAUAAUAACUAAUAAGUCCUAUAUAAUGCAUGAUAAAUAGUCCAGACUACAAAAAAAAAAUAAAAAAAAAAUCAAUGCAACGUUUAAGAAACCUAACAAAAACGACACUUACUGAAUGGCCCAACUCUUAAAUUAAGCAGCCUAUUCAUAUAUAAAGAGAAAUUCUUGAGGUCUUUGCAGAGAAAAGCUGAAAGUAAACAUCCAAAUAACAGCACUUGAUAGGCAGAUUUAAGCAUUGAACAAAGCGGUGGCUGAAUAUUAGCACUCCUUUAGCAUGCACCGAAUAAAUCAUCAAAUGUCUAAGAUAGCUAGCUAACUGAAAUAUCAUCAUCUAUCCUAGAACUCCCGCUAGAUUAUCCGGCAUCAAGUACCCUUUUCUCCUGGACCACCUAAACGUGACAUUCCAGACAAGAUGAAAAAACAUCUGCCUCUGAAUUUUUUACAUAUCAACCGCAUAAGCUCAUUGACAAAGAAAUUGAGCAAAUACCCUAACAAAAUCAGACAUGAUGACAGGCAUCCAUGAAAGCAAAAGGAAGCUUUUGUUAAGUAGAUAAAGCAAAAAAUCUUCUAAAUGAUGAUGAAACAUCAAUAGUUAUAUUCCAAAUGGUGCCAAGAUCUUUGCUUUCAUCUGAAGAGAGCCUAAACCAAGAGUCAGGGACACCUAACUGGCAUAGCAGUUCAAUCCUUCUAAAAAAUAAAAACCCGCCAAAUUGCAUCAAACACACAGAAAUCUCAACUCAAGGAACAAAUAAAAACCAUCAAGGUUCAACUUUUAACCACCAAUCUUGUUCCAAAAACACACAUUUGAACUCUAAAUCAAUCAAAGCUGUCAUUAAAAUGUACCAAAAGUAGAGCAUAAAAAUGCAAUAAGUCCUCCAACGUUCCAAUUAUUAUUAAUCGUCAUCAUUCGAGACGACUCAAAACAUAACAAAGAUGCCACAUUCCAUCGAAGAACUUUAAGAAGUAGAA
This is a long non-coding RNA of Populus euphratica (Euphrates poplar), 2854 nucleotides long. RefSeq lists it as uncharacterized. The transcript is spliced from 2 exons. Lineage: Eukaryota; Viridiplantae; Streptophyta; Magnoliopsida; Malpighiales; Salicaceae. The record is from RefSeq and is a predicted model, not a curated record.